UGUCGUCAGCUCGUGUCGUGAGAUGUUGGGUUAAGUCCCGCAACGAGCGCAACCCUUGUCUUAUGUUGCCAGCACGUUGUGGUGGGGACUCGUAAGAAACUGCCGGGGUUAACUCGGAGGAAGGUGGGGAUGACGUCAAAUCAUCAUGCCCCUUAUGUCCAGGGCUUCACACAUGCUACAAUGGUCGGUACAGUGGGUUGCCAGUCCGUGAGGGCGAGCUAAUCCCGUAAAGCCGGUCUCAGUUCGGAUCGGGGUCUGCAACUCGACCCCGUGAAGUCGGAGUCGCUAGUAAUCGCAGAUCAGCAACGCUGCGGUGAAUACGUUCCCGGGCCUUGUACAC
Molecule: ribosomal RNA, 340 nt
Filed under: Corynebacterium sp. HMSC074C04
Lineage: Bacteria; Bacillati; Actinomycetota; Actinomycetes; Mycobacteriales; Corynebacteriaceae
Description: bacterial SSU rRNA
Rfam family: Bacterial small subunit ribosomal RNA
Source: RNAcentral